This 253-nucleotide ribosomal RNA is filed under the name uncultured bacterium. Its description in RNAcentral is "partial 16S ribosomal RNA". It matches the Rfam family "Bacterial small subunit ribosomal RNA", at positions 524 to 776 of the family's 1533-position model. The record is from RNAcentral.
UACAGAGGUCCCAAGCGUUGUUCGGAUUCAUUGGGCGUAAAGGGCGCGUAGGCGGCCUUCUAAGUCACACGUGAAAUCCCUCGGCUCAACCGGGGAACUGCGUGUGAUACUGGCGGGCUUGAAUGCGGGAGAGGGAUGUGGAAUUCCAGGUGUAGCGGUGAAAUGCGUAGAUAUCUGGAGGAACACCGGCGGCGAAGGCGGCAUCCUGGACCGAGAUUGACGCUGAGGCGCGAAAGCUAGGGUAGCAAACGGG